Molecule: ribosomal RNA, 435 nt
Filed under: uncultured bacterium
Lineage: Bacteria
Description: bacterial SSU rRNA
Rfam family: Bacterial small subunit ribosomal RNA
Source: RNAcentral
AACGCGAAGAACCUUACCAGCCUUUGACAUGGCAGGACGAUUUCCAGAGAUGGAUCUCUUCCAGCAAUGGACCUGCACACAGGUGCUGCAUGGCUGUCGUCAGCUCGUGUCGUGAGAUGUUGGGUUAAGUCCCGCAACGAGCGCAACCCUCGCCCUUAGUUGCCAUCAUUCAGUUGGGCACUCUAAGGGGACUGCCGGUGAUAAGCCGAGAGGAAGGUGGGGAUGACGUCAAGUCCUCAUGGCCCUUACGGGCUGGGCUACACACGUGCUACAAUGGCGGUGACAGUGGGAUGCCAGCCUGCGAGGGUGAGCAAAUCUCCAAAAGCCGUCUCAGUUCGGAUUGCACUCUGCAACUCGAGUGCAUGAAGUUGGAAUCGCUAGUAAUCGUGGAUCACCAUGCCACGGUGAAUACGUUCCCGGGUCUUGUACACACCG